Molecule: long non-coding RNA, 813 nt
Organism: Choloepus didactylus (southern two-toed sloth)
Lineage: Eukaryota; Metazoa; Chordata; Mammalia; Pilosa; Megalonychidae
Exons: 4
Source: RefSeq, a predicted model, not a curated record
GGCAGUGCUAGCGGAUGUUUCUUCCAUCUUUGCACCUGCAAGCUUAAGUCUCAAUUGAAGUUUCUUUGCUGAGCUUUUCAAAGGUAACUUUCAAUAUCACUCAAGGCAAGGCGCACUGAGAAGUUAUAAACAGGGAUUAAUUUUCUUUCAGCCACUGGCUUACUUGACAUUCUUAGCCCCAGAUCUGUGGUACCAGAGGACAAAUUCAGGACAGAUGAGAAUCCCGGGUAAAGUGAGCAACCUGCCCAAAAAGGACCGGGAGGCUUUCCGAAGUUAAGAGGAUAAUUUCAGUUCUCCACCCAUCGCCUCGCCUUCAAUUCAGAAGAGAGAGGCUACGGCAUGUUGAUAGACAUGUGACAGGAGAGCUGGGAGAGGCUGAAAAGAGAUGAAGGCUUUUUUUAAUUUACAAAAAGCCAGCUGUCCUCUCUCCGCAUCUUGCCUCAUCACUCCUGAAGGAGUCAGGAUGGACCUGGUGAUGACGCAUGAGGCGGAACAGACCCCAGUUCACAUCUCAUCUAUCUGGAGUGGCUCCCACACCAUAAAAAAACUUUCUUCCUUUGAGUUGGUGAAGAGGAGUGAUGUGCAAGAAGGCGCCAUUUAAUCAGUCGGGCCAGAGAAACACAGUCAAGCCUUCAGGUCUCCAACUGACAGUUAAUGAUAGGGAAUUCCACAGCAUUGAGAGAGACCAGAUGGCUGGCAACAACCAUUCCAGAUCCAAAAACAGGGCCAGCAUCCACAUACACUCCCCUGUUUUACUUAGCUAACCCCUUCUCUGGUGGAGAGUAUAUUUUGUGUUGGAUUUGGAGUGAGUGG